RNAcentral lists this ribosomal RNA (120 nucleotides) under Meriones unguiculatus (Mongolian gerbil). Lineage: Eukaryota; Metazoa; Chordata; Mammalia; Rodentia; Muridae. The record is from RNAcentral.
UUUUCUUAGGCCUUUGUAUCUAACAUGCCCAGUCUCCUCUGAUCUUGGAAGCUAAGAGGGGUUGGGCCUAGUUAGUACUUAGAUGAGAGACUGCCUGGGAAUACUGGGUGCUCAGAGCAC